UACGUAGGGGGCAAGUGUUGUCCGGAAUCAUUGGGCGUAAAGAGCGUGUAGGCGGUUCAGUAAGUCUGCUGUGAAAGUCCAAGGCUCAACCUUGGGAUGCCGGUGGAUACUGCUGAGCUAGAGUACGGAAGAGGCGAGUGGAAUUCCCGGUGUAGCGGUGAAAUGCGCAGAUAUCGGGAGGAACACCUAUUGCGAAGGCAGCUCGCUGGGACGUCACUGACGCUGAGACGCGAAAGCGUGGGGAGCAAACAGG
Molecule: ribosomal RNA, 253 nt
Filed under: uncultured bacterium
Lineage: Bacteria
Description: partial 16S ribosomal RNA
Rfam family: Bacterial small subunit ribosomal RNA
Source: RNAcentral